ACUAUCGGCGAUGGACGGUUUGACAGUGCCGAUUUAUAUCGUUGCGGGGCGUAAAUUAUUGUCGAUGAUUACCGUGAGGCUGCCGAACGUGAGAGCACGAUGCGAGGACUGAAGAACAACACAACGACACCUGAUCGUGAGUGUGGCAUUGGCGCUCCGAAACGGGUUUGAGAGCAGCUGAUCGUCAGUUGUUGUCGCACCACCGCGGAGCGAGCUGAGUGAAGUUCGUCAAAGGCGGGAGGAAAUUGGAAGUGCGUAGCCGAUUCUCGACUGUUUCUUCGUCCCGCGAGUGUCUGUGUGUGUAGUCGGUAGUUCGGGGCCCACAUGACUCCCCCCCCCCCCUCAGCAGCAGCGCGUUAAACGUCGGAAAAUCAAUUUACACGUUCCUCACGGUGUUUGCUCAAGAUGUUGCGGGUUCUUCGGAAUCUUUCCGUGACAUCCGUCAGCGAACUGUCGUCGUCCGUCCUGCACGACUACCGCGAAUUAAUUGAGCGUUAGUGAAAUCUUUGAGCGAACUACGUUGCUUCACGAGACCCCGGAAAAAUCGUUUAACUAGGGAGGAAACCCAGACGCGAUGGAUAACAACUGAUCGUUCACCACGGACCACGUGAUCGAGAUUGAAACAGAAGAUCCGAAGACCAUCCACCGCGCGCUAGAUCAAAGGCAUCCAAGAUGUUGUCGUACAUGUUGCCGGGGGACGAAAAGCCGCCGCCGUCAUCGCCGAUGGAAAACCGCAAUGGAAACCUGGGCCAGAUGUCGGCGAGGAGUUACCAGAUCAAUGACCUUCAAUCCGGGGGCCCAGGGUCCCCGAAAAUGACGUUAAACGCUCGGGCCAUAAGCGCGCUUCAGUCGACGCUGGCCUCGCGGGGUGGCGGUGAUCAGAUCGAAGAACUCGACGAGGGGGACGAGGAUAUCGUCGACGAUCACGUCAAGGCCUACCGCGGUAUCAAUGGCCGGAAAGGAUCCGUCGAAAGCCCGAGACACGCGGCACUCGGCGUGGAUGCGGCCGGGAACACGACGCGGAAAUCAUCCGCUCUGCACUCGUCUGGACCCGGAAGGGCCGUCGUUAAGGAUGACAGUCUUUACAGCAUUGGAAGCGACGCCAGUACCGUUGGCAGCGAGAAGAAGCACAAGCUGUUCAACGGUGCCAAGCACACCAGUCUCAAGAGGGUCUCCUUUGGCUCUAGCAAAGGAUCGAUGGUCGAGACACUCGUCUAUGAGACACCCGUCCAAGAGGAGCCGGAAAAUAACCAUUUUCACGAGCACAAUGGACGACUACCAACACCGAACACCUACGGCUCGGCGGCUCUCCUCGUCGCCCCUGAAACCGACGAGGGCCGAGAACGAGUCAGGGUAUCACUUCUUGAACCGACGCCUUGCCCGUCGACACCGGGCGUCCUUUUGCUCGAACCGACGUCGGACAUCGACGAUCACCUUCACACGCAUCUCACAAUGGCCACCAGUCCGGUCGAACUUCUUACCACCCACACGGAGCACACAACACCCACCUAUCACACGCAAAUCAGCACCGACAGCGGCUGGGACAACCCUUUCAGGCCGGACGGCGACCUCUCGAGGGAGGCCGACGAGAUCGUCGAGCUCAUCAAAGGUGGGAAACCGAUCACUCCGACUCCUGGACAAAACGCACCGGCACUUCCCGGAGUCGAGACCACGACCCCUGUUUCGACGGCUGCUCCGGCUGCCAACGGUGACCUCGACUCGGGUGCGAACACGAUUCUGAACUCGACCGUCGCCAAUCAGCAAACCUCUCCGAGGCUCAGUCAGGGGAACGGGAAUGCUGCCCAUGUCACGCCGAAUAAGGGAUCUGCUCCGAACUCGAACAAUCAGAAUGCCGCGCACAAGAAGGUAUCUUUUUUACCAUGAUUUAUUUAAUUUUUUAUUUUCUCUCUUGAACUAACAAUAAAAUAUCCUAAUAUACGUACACUUAUACUUACAAUAUACUAUGGAGACAUCGGAAGA
This 1980-nucleotide unclassified non-coding RNA is filed under the name Neodiprion pinetum (white pine sawfly). RNAcentral's name for it is "uncharacterized LOC124213331, transcript variant X4". The record is from RNAcentral. Lineage: Eukaryota; Metazoa; Arthropoda; Insecta; Hymenoptera; Diprionidae.